This 253-nucleotide ribosomal RNA is filed under the name uncultured bacterium. Its description in RNAcentral is "partial 16S ribosomal RNA". It matches the Rfam family "Bacterial small subunit ribosomal RNA", at positions 524 to 776 of the family's 1533-position model. The record is from RNAcentral.
GACGAAGGAUGCAAGCGUUAUCCGGAUUCAUUGGGUUUAAAGGGAGCGUAGGUGGUCUUAUAAGUCAGUGGUGAAAUCUCUGGGCUUAACCCAGAAAUUGCCAUUGAUGCUGUAGGACUUGAGUAUAGUUGCCGUUGGCGGAAUAUGACAUGUAGUGGUGAAAUACAUAGAGAUGUCAUAGAACACCGAUUGCGAAGGCAGCUAACGAAACUAUAACUGACACUGAGGCUCGAAAGUGUGGGGAUCAAACAGG